This 212-nucleotide unclassified non-coding RNA is filed under the name Ascomycota sp. Its description in RNAcentral is "partial contains small subunit ribosomal RNA, internal transcribed spacer 1, and 5.8S ribosomal RNA". The stretch from base 1 to 47 matches the Rfam family "Eukaryotic small subunit ribosomal RNA", at positions 1785 to 1831 of the family's 1831-position model. The record is from RNAcentral. Lineage: Eukaryota; Fungi; Ascomycota.
AAAGUCGUAACAAGGUCUCCGUUGGUGAACCAGCGGAGGGAUCAUUACCGAGUGCAAACUCAUAACCCUUUGUGAACCUACAACCGUUGCUUCGGCGGCUCGCCCCCGGGCGAGCCCGCCGGUACCAUCAGAAUCUCUGUUUGAACCCGACGAUACUUCUGAGUGUUCUUAGCGAACAGUUAAAACUUUCAACAACGGAUCUCUUGGCUCUA